This 232-nucleotide ribosomal RNA is filed under the name uncultured bacterium. RNAcentral describes it as "partial 16S ribosomal RNA". It matches the Rfam family "Bacterial small subunit ribosomal RNA", at positions 524 to 755 of the family's 1533-position model. The record is from RNAcentral.
UACGAAGGGUGCAAGCGUUAAUCGGAAUUACUGGGCGUAAAGCGCGCGUAGGUGGUUCAGCAAGUUGGAUGUGAAAGCCCUGGGCUCAACCUGGGAACUGCAUUGGAUACUGUAAGACUUGAAUACGGGAGAGGGCAGUGGAAUUCCUAGUGUAGGAGUGAAAUCCGUAGAUAUUAGGAGGAACACCGGUGGCGAAGGCGACUACCUGGACUGAUACUGACACUGAGGUGCG